Molecule: long non-coding RNA, 194 nt
Organism: Hibiscus syriacus
Lineage: Eukaryota; Viridiplantae; Streptophyta; Magnoliopsida; Malvales; Malvaceae
Exons: 3
Source: RefSeq, a predicted model, not a curated record
UUUCCCCUCGUUGCUGGCAUCUUCAUAAACAAUUCUAAAAUCUCUCAUCGAAAACAGAUGCUUAUAGUUCCACCAAAAUGGCUAGAGGGUUGAAGAAACAUUUGAAGAGGCUCAAUGCUCCAUGGCAUUGGAUGCUCGACAAGCUUGGUGGUGCAUUUGCAUGUUAUCUUCUCGAAUAUUUUUUCCAUCAUUUU